ACUCAUGCGCUAAUCCCAAGUUCCCAAUUCUCCCUCCAUCUCUCUUUCGACUCUUCAUCUUCGACUUAGAAUUAGAACACCAUCACCGAGUUCGACUUUGCGGUGGAACACCGUCUUCGACUGAAGUUAUUCAUUAGAAGUCAGCAUAGGUCGAGUAAGAUAAGGGCGUUGUGGUCGAACAAGUCAAAUAGGGUGAAAAGAUUAAGAAAGACAGGAUCGGACUUGGACGUUCUUCAGGCUAUAAGCUUUGAGUGGCAGAAUAUAUGAUCACAAAAGAUAUUCAAUCUUAGGAGCUUUGAGCGUACCAAGCUGAUAUUGCAACAGUCUUGAGAAAUGUUGUUGCAGUUGCUAACCUGGGUCUAAGAGGAGUUGCAAUGCUUAAAUCAAGAGCUACAGUUGAUACAUGCUUCUCAAGGGUAUAAGAAAUGCUUGCUUGAGGGACCCAACUAUCAGUGUGCACAUCGUCUGGGCGUACACAAUUUAGGUUGGUGUGCAUCUACAUAAAGAACAAUAAGCUCAUCCUUAGACUGGAAAAGAAAUGCCUAGGAGGAUUUCUAACAACUUCUAAGGAGUACAAGAUUAUCAAUGUGAUUGAAGAAAGAAAGGAAGUUCAAGGUUUCUACUAGCUAAGACUUAACACCAAGUGGAGGUAAUAUCGAUCUGUUGUUCGAAGAUGAGUAGCAAUGUAAUGUUUGGCAAUCAACUACCUUGCACCUGUUGCAUAACCAACAAUGCCAUUCGUGAUCAAUCCCAUCAAAGAAUGAGAUCUGUCUUUUCACUGUUAUAUAUAAAUAACAUAGAUUUGAUUUGCAUUGGAGAAGUAAAGACCCUUCCUCACAAAAUGUGAGUUAUGAAUAGAAGUGCAUGUAUGUAAGAUAUGAAGAUGAAGACAUCUAUGGACAUAUAUAUGAUUAUAAAAGUAUUCAACUGAUUAAAACAUUUCAGAUUGAGAGGGCAAUACAGGGAGAGAACUGUAGACUUUAUGCAAUGAAUGCAUUGCCUUGCUUUUACUAGUCUUCUCUUGGAUACUUGGGUGGAUACAUUAGACCAAAUUUCUAUGUGUUAAUUGUAUUAUUUAUGAUAGCAAUUUGGAAGUUGUAAUAUAUUUUUAACAUAUUUGUGUAUAAAUACAGUUGGGAUGUUAUUCAAUAACAAUUUACAAAUAUUU
This is a long non-coding RNA of Nelumbo nucifera (sacred lotus), 1168 nucleotides long. RefSeq lists it as uncharacterized. The record is from RefSeq and is a predicted model, not a curated record. Lineage: Eukaryota; Viridiplantae; Streptophyta; Magnoliopsida; Proteales; Nelumbonaceae.